RNAcentral lists this ribosomal RNA (1095 nucleotides) under Microgenomates group bacterium GW2011_GWB1_45_17. Its description in RNAcentral is "bacterial LSU rRNA". It matches the Rfam family "Bacterial large subunit ribosomal RNA", at positions 1806 to 2913 of the family's 2925-position model. The record is from RNAcentral.
AACAAAAACACAGGUCCGUGCAAACUCGAAAGAGGACGUAUACGGGCUGAAACCUGCCCAGUGCCGGAAGGUUAACUGCGAGAGUGGUACCCGCAAGGGUACUGCUUUCAAUUGAAGCCCCGGUGAACGGCAGCAGUAACUAUAACUGUUCUAUGGUAUCAAAAUCAGCGAAAUACCUUGUCGCUUAAUUGGCGACGCGCAUGAAAGGAACAACGAGUCUCCAACUGUCUCGAACCAUUACUCGGCGAAAUUGAAAUGGCUGUGAAGAUGCGGCCUACUGGCAGUAGGACAAAAAGACCCCAUGAAGCUUUACUAUAGCUUGGCACUGAUGUUUUAUUCGGGAUUGUCUAGGAUAGGCGGGAGUGUGUGCCGCAAGGUACAUACAACAGUGUAAUACCGCUCGUUUCGUAUAAAAUAUCUCACCCAAUUCGCCUGCAAACGGCGAAGGGAACACUGUCUGGCGGGUAGUUUAACUGGGGAGGUUGCUUGCUAAAGAGUACCGCAAGCGCGCAAUGGUAUCCUUGGCCCGGAUGGAAAUCGGGCUGGAAGUGCAACGGCAUAAGGAUGCUUGACUGUGAGGCAAACAGGCCGAGCAGGUGCGAAAGCAGGUCAUAGUGAUCCUCGUGUACUUUGUGGAAGGUACCGGGCUUAACGGAUAAAAGCUACUCUGGGGAUAACAGAGUCAUCGCGCCUAAGCGUCCCUAGCGACGGCGCGGUUUGCUACCUCAAAACGCAUCCUGGGGGUGAAGAAGCUCCCAAGGGUUGGUCUGUUCGCCCAUUAAAGCGUUACGCGAGCUGGGUUCAGAACGUCGUGAGACAGUACGGCCUCUAUCCACUGUCAGCGCUGGAUGUUUGAAGGAUUUUGCUUCUAGUUGACGAGAGGACCGAAGUGAGGGAAUCCCUGGUGUGCCUGUUGUCGCUGUCAAGCGCAAUGCAGGGUAGCCACAUUCCUGUUGGAUAACCGCUGAAAGCAUCUAAGCGGGAAGCCGUUCCUAAGAUGAGACAUCCCAAUAGACCCCUCGGAGAUUACGAGGUUGAUAGGCAGCCGGUGUACGUCCUGUGAAGGAUUAAGCCUAGCUGUACUAAUCGGUCGAU